CGUGCUUAACACAUGCAAGUCGAGCGGAAAGGCCACUUCGGUGGUACUCGAGCGGCGAACGGGUGAGUAACACGUGAGUAAUCUGCCCUUCACUUGGGGAUAACCUCCGGAAACGGUGGCUAAUACCCGAUACGACCAUUCCAGGCAUCUGGUGGUGGUGGAAAGUUUUUUCGGUGGGGGAUGUGCUCGCGGCCUAUCAGCUUGUUGGUGGGGUAAUGGCCUACCAAGGCUUCGACGGGUAGCCGGCCUGAGAGGGUGACCGGCCACACUGGGACUGAGACACGGCCCAGACUCCUACGGGAGGCAGCAGUGGGGAAUAUUGGACAAUGGGCGGAAGCCUGAUCCAGCAACGCCGCGUGAGGGAUGACGGCCUUCGGGUUGUAAACCUCUUUCACCGAUGACGAAGCGCAAGUGACGGUAGUCGGAGAAGAAGCACCGGCCAACUACGUGCCAGCAGCCGCGGUAAUACGUAGGGUGCGAGCGUUGUCCGGAAUUAUUGGGCGUAAAGGGCUCGUAGGCGGUUUGUCGCGUCGGGAGUGAAAACACGGGGCUUAACUCCGUGCUUGCUUUCGAUACGGGCAGACUAGAGGUAUGCAGGGGAGAACGGAAUUCCUGGUGUAGCGGUGAAAUGCGCAGGUAUCAGGAGGAACACCGGUGGCGAAGGCGGUUCUCUGGG
This 676-nucleotide ribosomal RNA is filed under the name uncultured Actinomycetes bacterium. RNAcentral describes it as "bacterial SSU rRNA". It matches the Rfam family "Bacterial small subunit ribosomal RNA", at positions 43 to 733 of the family's 1533-position model. The record is from RNAcentral. Lineage: Bacteria; Bacillati; Actinomycetota; Actinomycetes.